Jannaschia seosinensis is the source of this 73-nucleotide transfer RNA. It matches the Rfam family "tRNA". From Rfam's summary of the family: Transfer RNA (tRNA) molecules are approximately 80 nucleotides in length. Their secondary structure includes four short double-helical elements and three loops (D, anti-codon, and T loops). Further hydrogen bonds mediate the characteristic L-shaped molecular structure. tRNAs have two regions of fundamental functional importance: the anti-codon, which is responsible for specific mRNA codon recognition, and the 3' end, to which the tRNAs corresponding amino acid is attached (by aminoacyl-tRNA synthetases). tRNAs cope with the degeneracy of the genetic code in two manners: having more than one tRNA (with a specific anti-codon) for a particular amino acid; and 'wobble' base-pairing, i.e. permitting non-standard base-pairing at the 3rd anti-codon position. NCBI's taxonomy places the organism in Bacteria, Pseudomonadati, Pseudomonadota, Alphaproteobacteria, Rhodobacterales, Roseobacteraceae. The record is from Rfam.
GGGGUCGUAGCUCAGUUGGUAGAGCGCGUCGUUCGCAAUGACGAGGUCAGGGGUUCGAUUCCCCUCGGCUCCA